Molecule: non-coding RNA, 28 nt
Filed under: Homo sapiens (human)
Lineage: Eukaryota; Metazoa; Chordata; Mammalia; Primates; Hominidae
Source: RNAcentral
AGCUUUGUCAUGGUGAGCUACUUCUCGC